RNAcentral lists this ribosomal RNA (262 nucleotides) under uncultured bacterium. Its description in RNAcentral is "partial 16S ribosomal RNA". It matches the Rfam family "Bacterial small subunit ribosomal RNA", at positions 57 to 305 of the family's 1533-position model. The record is from RNAcentral.
GCAAGUCGAACGCGAACGUCACUUCGGUGGCUAGUAGAGUGGCGAACGGGUGAGUAACACCUGGACAACAUGCCUGGCUGUGGGGGAUAAAUUGGGGAAAACGAAGCUAAUACCGCAUUCGCUCGAGGAUCGCAUGGUCCUCGCGGAAAGACCGCCUAUUCUUGAAAGCGGUUGCAUUCAGAGGGGUCCGCGGCUGAUUAGCUAGUUGGUGGGGUAACGGCCUACCAAGGCGACGAUCAGUAGCCGGCCUGAGAGGGCGAUC